ACGUAGGGUGCGAGCGUUAAUCGGAAUUACUGGGCGUAAAGCGUGCGCAGGCGGUUCGCUAAGACAGGUGUGAAAUCCCCGGGCUUAACCUGGGAAUGGCGCUUGUGACUGGCGGGCUGGAGUACGGCAGAGGGGGGUGGAAUUCCACGUGUAGCAGUGAAAUGCGUAGAGAUGUGGAGGAACACCGAUGGCGAAGGCAGCCCCCUGGGUCGACACUGACGCUCAGACGCGAAAGCUAGGGUAGCAAACGG
This 251-nucleotide ribosomal RNA is filed under the name uncultured prokaryote. Its description in RNAcentral is "partial 16S ribosomal RNA". It matches the Rfam family "Bacterial small subunit ribosomal RNA", at positions 525 to 775 of the family's 1533-position model. The record is from RNAcentral.